RNAcentral lists this ribosomal RNA (506 nucleotides) under uncultured bacterium. RNAcentral describes it as "partial 16S ribosomal RNA". It matches the Rfam family "Bacterial small subunit ribosomal RNA", at positions 28 to 523 of the family's 1533-position model. The record is from RNAcentral.
GAUGAACGCUAGCUACAGGCUUAACACAUGCAAGUCGAGGGGUAACGAGAGGAAAGCUUGCUUUCCUUGUCGACGACCGGCGCACGGGUGAGUAACGCGUAUCCAGCCUGCCCCCAACUAGGGAAUAACCUUGCGAAAGUAAGACUAAUACCCUAUAAUUUCCUCAGAUGACAUCUGACGAGGAAUAAAGAUUUAUCGGUUGUGGAUGGGGAUGCGUCUGAUUAGCUUGUUGGCGGGGUAACGGCCCACCAAGUGAACGAUCAGUAGGGGUUCUGAGAGGAAGGUCCCCCACAGUGUGACUGAGACACGGUCCAAACUCAUACGGGAGGGAGCAGUGAAGAAUAUUGGUCAAUGGGCGGAAGCCUGAACCAGCCAAGUAGCGUGCAGGAUGACGGCCCUAUGGGUUGUAAACUGCUUUUAUACAGGAAUAAAGUUAGCCACGUGUGGUUAUUUGUAGGUACUGCAUGAAUAAGGACCGGCUAAUUCCGUGCCAGCCGCCGCCGCAG